GCGAGGGUAGCCAAGUGGUCAACGGCGGUGGACUCAAGAUCCACUCGCGCAGGCGUUCGCGGGUUCGACUCCCUCCCCUCGCA
This 83-nucleotide transfer RNA is filed under the name Methanogenium sp. S4BF. Its description in RNAcentral is "tRNA-Leu". It matches the Rfam family "tRNA". Rfam says of the family: Transfer RNA (tRNA) molecules are approximately 80 nucleotides in length. Their secondary structure includes four short double-helical elements and three loops (D, anti-codon, and T loops). The record is from RNAcentral. Lineage: Archaea; Methanobacteriati; Methanobacteriota; Methanomicrobia; Methanomicrobiales; Methanomicrobiaceae.